AGCGAACGCUGGCGGCAGGCCUAACACAUGCAAGUCGAACGGAUCCUUCGGGAUUAGUGGCGGACGGGUGAGUAACACGUGGGAACGCGCCCUUUGGUUCGGAGCAACUCAGGGAAACUUGAGCUAAUACCGGAUGUGCCCUUCGGGGGAAAGAUUUAUCGCCAUUGGAGCGGCCCGCGUCUGAUUAGCUAGUUGGUGGGGUAAAGGCCCACCAAGGCGACGAUCAGUAGCUGGUCUGAGAGGAUGAUCAGCCACAUUGGGACUGAGACACGGCCCAAACUCCUACGGGAGACAGCAGUGGGGAAUCUUGCGCAAUGGGCGAAAGCCUGACGCAGCCAUGCCGCGUGAAUGAUGAAGGUCUUAGGAUUGUAAAAUUCUUUCACCGGGGACGAUAAUGACGGUACCCGGAGAAGAAGCCCCGGCUAACUUCGUGCCAGCAGCCGCAGUAA
RNAcentral lists this ribosomal RNA (449 nucleotides) under uncultured bacterium. Its description in RNAcentral is "partial 16S ribosomal RNA". It matches the Rfam family "Bacterial small subunit ribosomal RNA", at positions 29 to 523 of the family's 1533-position model. The record is from RNAcentral.